AGCAGUAUGGAUAACGUACGUUUUCUUCAUACACAAUUUUAUUUAAGUGAUCAAGUCAUAAACGAUUAUAUGAAUUUAAUCAAUGAACGUAAUUUAAACGUUUAUUGCUUUGACUCAUAUUUUUUUGUAAGCCUCUGUUUAAGAGGAUAUGAUGGUGUUAAACGUAUUGUAGGAAAACUAAAAUUUGAUUUAUUUUCAAAAAAAAAACUUUUAUUUCCUAUUUGUUUAAAAAGUCACUGGACCUUGGUCUGUGUAAACCUUGAAUCCAAAGAAGUUCAAUAUUAUGACAGUCUCCAUGGUCGUAAUAUUGCAAGUCAAGAGACUAUAUUCAAAUUUUUAAAUAACGCACAUCUCCAAAUUAAUGGAUCACCAUUACGUACAGAAGGUUGGAAAAUAUUAACUGUACAAAAUAUCCCUCAUCAGAAGAAUGGGUAUGAUUGUGGAGUUUUUUUAUGUACGUAUGCUGAAUAUUUAGCAAGGGGUGUCACAUUCAAUUUUUCUCAGGAACACAUGUUAUCGUUUAGACAAUUAAUUGCAUACGAGCUAACAGUGAAAAGGUUAGUGGAUGUAAAUGUCGAUGCAGAAUAUAUAGAUUCGUUUAUCAUGAGUGUUAUAAACUCAUGAUAAAAAAUCUAUGUUGUAAAAAUCAAUUUUUAUACCCAUUGAUUUUCACUGGGAGUUAAUAUACUUAAAGUUGUCUAAACACUCUGAAUGAGUUUUUUUUGUGAAAAGUUGAGUAUGAUACAACUGGUUGUGCUCAUUGUUCAGUAAAUAUUCAGCUUCGAUACAUGCCUAUAACCUAUAGGUUAUAACCAUUCUUUUGACAAGGGAUAUCAAACACAUCAAUAAAAUAUCAUUCUAAAUUGCAAUUGAAUAUAGUAAUACACAUACUGGGAUCCAGUGAUUAUUGUUUUUUAAAUUAAUAGAAAAAGUUAUUUUUUUUGUUAAAUUAUCAGAUUUUUUUUUUUUAUCAGACGUUUAACAGAGGAAUAAGCUUUCUUUUAGUGAGGUUUCAAUAAAAUAUGUGUCAAAUCAUAUAUAAUGUUUGGAGUAUGUGAGGAUAUCAGAUUCAUGUAAUUGUUUAUGACAUUAAUUGACAUUUAUCUAAAAUCAUUACAUCAAUAGUCAUCAUUGCGAUGUUCCAGUCAUACUUCUAGCCUUUACAAAUUCCACACAUUCAGGAUAACUAGUUUAUUCUGAGAACUCAUGUCUAGUGUCACAGACCAAUUUUUGUGUCAUAAAUUUGGUACAGUGAAUAAAAGUAGAAAAAAUGACAUUUCAUUUCACUUUUUUUUAUCCGUUACGGUGAAGGUUCAUUGAUAUAUAUGUAUAUGUAUACCUACAAAAAUAAUUUUCAUGGAUUUAAGAAAAUUACACUUCUGACAUGUAUCUUGCUAAAUCCAUUAGAGGACUAAGAAUCGUAGAAAAAGUUUGUUUAGAAUACUCACGAUAUUCAUAACAAUUUUAUUUAAAGAAGACUUUUAGUCGUGUGGUAUCAGUGAACCACUAGUUUGAUGUCAAUUAUCCAAGAGUUUUUCAUUAGAAGAAAUAGAAUUAUACUAUACUUACUAUGAAAACAUUCCAAGACACGUGAUUU
This is a long non-coding RNA of Rhopalosiphum padi (bird cherry-oat aphid), 1597 nucleotides long. RefSeq lists it as uncharacterized. The transcript has 4 exons. NCBI's taxonomy places the organism in Eukaryota, Metazoa, Arthropoda, Insecta, Hemiptera, Aphididae. The record is from RefSeq and is a predicted model, not a curated record.